UGCAAGUCGAACGAGAAUCUGGAGGUUCAAGUUUUCGGACAAGAACUUUCGGAGGAAAGUGGCGGAAGGGUGAGUACAACAUGGAUAAUCUACCUUCAAGUUGGGUAUAGCUUCCCGAAAGGGGAGAUAAUCCCGAAUGUGGUGAUCCGGCGCCUGUCGGAGAAUCCAAAGGUGGGGACCGCAAGGCCUGCCGCUUGAAGAUGAGUCCGUGCACUAUCAGCUAGUUGGUGAGGUAAUGGCUCACCAAGGCGAUGACGGUUAGCUGGUCUGAGAGGAUGGUCAGCCACACUGGGACUGAGAUACUGCCCAGACUCCUACGGGAGGCCGCAGUCGAGAAUCAUUCGCAAUGGGCGCAAGCCUGACGGUGCGACGUCGCGUGGAGGAUGAAGGUCUUCGGAUUGUAAACUCCUGUCAUGUGGGAUAAAUGGCCAGGGCAUGAAUAGUGCCUUGGAAUGAUAGUACCACAGGAGGAAGGGACGGCUAACUCUGUG
This 491-nucleotide ribosomal RNA is filed under the name uncultured bacterium. Its description in RNAcentral is "bacterial SSU rRNA". It matches the Rfam family "Bacterial small subunit ribosomal RNA", at positions 56 to 507 of the family's 1533-position model. The record is from RNAcentral.